AGCAGCCGCGGUAAUUCCAGCUCCAAUAGCGUAUAUUAAAGUUGCUGCAGUUAAAAAGCUCGUAGUUGAAUUUCGGGACCAUCAUGUCGGUCGUGCCUCGGUACGUACUGGCAUUGUUGGUUUCUACCUUCUGACGAACCAUGAUGUCAUUUAUUUGGUGUCGUGGGAAAUCAGGACUGUUACUUUGAAAAAUUAGAGUGUUUAAAGCAGGCUCACGCUUGAAUACAUUAGCAUGGAAUAAUGAAAUAGGACGUUUGAUUCUAUUUUGUUGGUUUCUAGGAUCGACGUAAUGAUUAAUAGGGAUAGUUGGGGGCAUUAGUAUUCAAUUGUCAGAGGUGAAAUUCUUGGAUUUAUUGAAGACUAACUACUGCGAAAGCAUUUGCCAAGGAUGUUUUCAUUAAUCAAGAACGAAAGUUAGGGGAUCGAAGACGAUCAGAUACCGUCGUAGUCUUAACCAUAAACUAUGCCGACUAGGGAUCGGAUGAUGUUAAUUUUUAAUGACUCAUUCGGUCG
This 513-nucleotide unclassified non-coding RNA is filed under the name uncultured Glomus. Its description in RNAcentral is "SSU rRNA". It matches the Rfam family "Eukaryotic small subunit ribosomal RNA", at positions 569 to 1086 of the family's 1831-position model. Lineage: Eukaryota; Fungi; Glomeromycota; Glomeromycetes; Glomerales; Glomeraceae. The record is from RNAcentral.